RNAcentral lists this ribosomal RNA (504 nucleotides) under uncultured bacterium. RNAcentral describes it as "bacterial SSU rRNA". It matches the Rfam family "Bacterial small subunit ribosomal RNA", at positions 28 to 521 of the family's 1533-position model. The record is from RNAcentral.
GAUGAACGCUAGCUACAGGCUUAACACAUGCAAGUCGAGGGGCAGCAUCAUCAAAGCUUGCUUUGAUGGAUGGCGACCGGCGCACGGGUGAGUAACACGUAUCCAACCUGCCGACAACACUGGGAUAGCCUUUCGAAAGAAAGAUUAAUACCGGAUGGCAUAGUUUUCCCGCAUGGGAUAAUUAUUAAAGAAUUUCGGUUGUCGAUGGGGAUGCGUUCCAUUAGGCAGUUGGCGGGGUAACGGCCCACCAAACCAACGAUGGAUAGGGGUUCUGAGAGGAAGGUCCCCCCACAUUGGAACUGAGACACGGUCCAAACUCCUACGGGAGGCAGCAGUGAGGAAUAUUGGUCAAUGGACGAGAGUCUGAACCAGCCAAGUAGCGUGAAGGAUGACUGCCCUAUGGGUUGUAAACUUCUUUUAUACGGGAAUAAAGUUAGCCACGUGUGGCUUUUUGUAUGUACCGUAUGAAUAAGGAUCGGCUAACUCCGUGCCAGCAGCCGCGGU